Molecule: long non-coding RNA, 494 nt
Filed under: Phasianus colchicus (ring-necked pheasant)
Lineage: Eukaryota; Metazoa; Chordata; Aves; Galliformes; Phasianidae
Description: lncRNA (ENSPCLG00000003839.1)
Source: RNAcentral
CUAAAAUGCAUAUCUCCCAGUUUUUAAGUAUUCAGUCUGCCCUGUAUAAUAGGAGCUGUUUGUUAUCAAAAGGUACUUUCCUUGUUAGUCAAACUUCAUCCCAAGGUUAAAGCACACCUGAACACAGUGGGCUAAACUAACUCAUUGUGUAAAGUAAGAGGGAGUGCUCCUUGAAAUGUAUUUCUUGCUUAAAAGCUGCACGUUGUGUGCCACCUCAAGGCUUGUUGUUCUCUUCCUUAGCUUGGAUACCACUCACACAUUAUUCUUUCUGAUGCAGAAUGUCUGUUUCGUAACAUCUUUCCAUGAAAAGCUAGAACAUCAGUGCUUGCUCCUGGAAAAGCAUCAAGCGUACGGAGCCAGACUAAAGGUUCUUCUUGCCUUGAAUCAUCUCUUCAUAGGUGUUAGAUGUGGAUGCCCAAGGAUGAGGUAAGUGAGCAGUGAUGCCCUUCAGCUUCACGGGCUCCAUGGCUGUGAUACUUCCUGAACCAGAGAUG